AUUGAACGCUGGCGGAAUGCUUUACACAUGCAAGUCGAACGGCAGCACGGGGGCAACCCUGGUGGCGAGUGGCGAACGGGUGAGUAAUACAUCGGAACGUGCCCAGUCGUGGGGGAUAACGUAGCGAAAGUUACGCUAAUACCGCAUACGAUCUACGGAUGAAAGCGGGGGACCGUAAGGCCUCGCGCGAUUGGAGCGGCCGAUGUCAGAUUAGGUAGUUGGUGAGGUAAGGCUCACCAAGCCGACGAUCUGUAGCUGGUCUGAGAGGACGACCAGCCACACUGGGACUGAGACACGGCCCAGACUCCUACGGGGGGCAGCAGUGGGGAAUUUUGGACAAUGGGCGCAAGCCUGAUCCAGCCAUUCCGCGUGCAGGACGAAGGCCUUCGGGUUGUAAACUGCUUUUGUACGGAACGAAAAGGCUCUGGUUAAUACCUGGGGCUCAUGACGGUACCGUAAGAAUAAGCACCGGCUAACUACGUGCCAGCCGCCGCUGUAA
This 499-nucleotide ribosomal RNA is filed under the name uncultured bacterium. RNAcentral's name for it is "partial 16S ribosomal RNA". It matches the Rfam family "Bacterial small subunit ribosomal RNA", at positions 30 to 523 of the family's 1533-position model. The record is from RNAcentral.